RNAcentral lists this transfer RNA (77 nucleotides) under Podarcis lilfordi (Lilford's wall lizard). Its description in RNAcentral is "tRNA.Ile". Lineage: Eukaryota; Metazoa; Chordata; Lepidosauria; Squamata; Lacertidae. The record is from RNAcentral.
AUCCUGUGGAUAGCUCAGUUGGUUAGCGCAUUGUGCUGAUAAUGCCGAAGUUGCAGGUUCGAUCCCCGAAUGGGACA